Molecule: ribosomal RNA, 253 nt
Filed under: uncultured bacterium
Lineage: Bacteria
Description: partial 16S ribosomal RNA
Rfam family: Bacterial small subunit ribosomal RNA
Source: RNAcentral
UACAGAGGGUGCAACCGUUGUUCGGAAUCACUGGGCAUAAAGCGUAUGUAGGCGGCUCCGUAAGUGUCGGGUGAAAUCCCACGGCCUACCCGUGGAACUGUUCGGCAUACUGCGGAGCUAGAGGAUGGUAGAGGAGAGCGGAACUCUUGGUGGAGCGGUGAAAUGCGUAGAUAUCAAGAGGAACACCGGUGGCGAAGGCGGCUCUCUGGUCCAUUACUGACGCUGAGGUACGAAAGCUAGGGGAGCAAACGGG